Molecule: ribosomal RNA, 497 nt
Filed under: uncultured bacterium
Lineage: Bacteria
Description: partial 16S ribosomal RNA
Rfam family: Bacterial small subunit ribosomal RNA
Source: RNAcentral
GAUGAACGCUGGCGGCGUGCCUAAUACAUGCAAGUCGAGCGAACAGACGAGGAGCUUGCUCCUUUGACGUUAGCGGCGGACGGGUGAGUAACACGUGGAUAACCUACCUAUAAGACUGGGAUAACUUCGGGAAACCGGAGCUAAUACCGGAUAACAUUUUGAACCGCAUGGUUCAACAGUGAAAGACGGUCUUGCUGUCACUUAUAGAUGGAUCCGCGCCGCAUUAGCUAGUUGGUAAGGUAACGGCUUACCAAGGCAACGAUGCGUAGCCGACCUGAGAGGGUGAUCGGCCACACUGGAACUGGGACACGGUCCAGACUCCUACGGGAGGCAGCAGUAGGGAAUCUUCCGCAAUGGGCGAAAGCCUGACGGAGCAACGCCGCGUGAGUGAAGAAGGUCUUCGGAUCGUAAAACUCUGUUAUUAGGGAAGAACAAAUGUGUAAGUAACUAUGCACGUCUUGACGGUACCUAAUCAGAAAGCCACGGCUAACUACGUG